CCUACGGUGGGCUGCAGUGGGGAAUAUUGGACAAUGGGCGAAAGCCUGAUCCAGCCAUGCCGCGUGUGUGAAGAAGGCCUUCGGGUUGUAAAGCACUUUCAGUGGGGAAGAAAGCCUUGGGGCUAAUACCCUCGAGGAAGGACAUCACCCACAGAAGAAGCACCGGCUAACUCCGUGCCAGCAGCCGCGGUAAUACGGAGGGUGCGAGCGUUAAUCGGAAUUACUGGGCGUAAAGCGCGCGUAGGCGGUCUGAUAAGCCGGUUGUGAAAGCCCCGGGCUCAACCUGGGAACGGCAUCCGGAACUGUCAGGCUAGAGUGCAGGAGAGGAAGGUAGAAUUCCCGGUGUAGCGGUGAAAUGCGUAGAGAUCGGGAGGAAUACCAGUGGCGAAGGCGGCCUUCAGGACUGACACUGACGCUGAGGUGCGAAAGCGUGGGUAGCAAACAGGAUUAGAUACCCCAGUAGUC
RNAcentral lists this ribosomal RNA (465 nucleotides) under Vreelandella stevensii. Its description in RNAcentral is "partial 16S ribosomal RNA". It matches the Rfam family "Bacterial small subunit ribosomal RNA", at positions 338 to 795 of the family's 1533-position model. The record is from RNAcentral. Lineage: Bacteria; Pseudomonadati; Pseudomonadota; Gammaproteobacteria; Oceanospirillales; Halomonadaceae.